ACAUCUUCAGAUAUCCCGCGAAGUCGAUACCUCGCGGAAAAACUCUCGAAACAGAUCUCGAACAAAACAUUUCACAUCGAAAAAGGAUAUGAGACGACAACUCAUCACCCUUCUUCCACUCCAUACGUAAGCUUAUGAAAAAUGCAACUCGACCAUCUUGUCAUAAAAGCCGCAGAGCGGCGGGGGUUCAAAGCCACACACGGCCAGUCCCGAAACACGAAAUAAGGCCAUUUAAGGCCGAAACAUCAAACAAAAAAAAAAAAAAAAAAUCUCCCGCAAGAGGUCUAACCAAAGUCAUCCUCAGAGCUCACGCUCCCUCUUCACCCGUCG
This 330-nucleotide long non-coding RNA is filed under the name Brassica napus (rape). RNAcentral's name for it is "long non-coding RNA (BNAP_LNC020685)". The record is from RNAcentral. Lineage: Eukaryota; Viridiplantae; Streptophyta; Magnoliopsida; Brassicales; Brassicaceae.